GACGAACGCUGGCGGCGUGCCUAAUACAUGCAAGUCGAGCGAACUAAURGGAGCUUGCUCCCAAAGGUUAGCGGCGGACGGGUGAGUAACACGUGGGCAACCUGCCCUGUAGAUCGGGAUAACAUCGAGAAAUCGGUGCUAAUACCGGAUAAUUUCUAGAAUCUCAUGGUUCUAGAAUAAAAGAUGGCUCCGGCUAUCACUACGGGAUGGGCCCGCGGCGCAUUAGCUAGUUGGUAAGGUAACGGCUUACCAAGGCGACGAUGCGUAGCCGACCUGAGAGGGUGAUCGGCCACACUGGGACUGAGACACGGCCCAGACUCCUACGGGAGGCAGCAGUAGGGAAUCUUCCGCAAUGGACGAAAGUCUGACGGAGCAACGCCGCGUGAGUGAUGAAGGAUUUCGGUUCGUAAAGCUCUGUUGUUAGGGAAGAACAAGUGCCGUUCAAAUAGGGCGGCACCUUGACGGUACCUAACCAGAAAGCCACGGCUAACUACGUGCCAGCAGCCGCGGUAAUACGUAGGUGGCAAGCGUUGUCCGGAAUUAUUGGGCGUAAAGCGCGCGCAGGCGGUCUUUUAAGUCUGAUGUGAAAGCCCACGGCUCAACCGUGGAGGGUCAUUGGAAACUGGGAGACUUGAGUACAGAAGAGGAGAGUGGAAUUCCACGUGUAGCGGUGAA
This 675-nucleotide ribosomal RNA is filed under the name Halalkalibacter alkalisediminis. RNAcentral's name for it is "bacterial SSU rRNA". It matches the Rfam family "Bacterial small subunit ribosomal RNA", at positions 28 to 685 of the family's 1533-position model. The record is from RNAcentral. Lineage: Bacteria; Bacillati; Bacillota; Bacilli; Caryophanales; Bacillaceae.